GACGAACGCUGGCGGCGUGCCUAAUACAUGCAAGUCGAACGCAGUGGGGACGGGUGAGUAACACGUGGGUAACCUCCCAUCAGAGGGGAUAACACUUGGAAACAGGUGCUAAACCGAUACUGAUGGAUGGACCCGCGGUGCAUUAGCUAUUUGGUGAGGUAACGGCUCACCAAGGACACGAGUCAUAGACGACCAGCGAGGGUGAGAGGCCACACUGGGACUGAGACACGGCCAAGACUCCUACGGGAGGCAGCAGUAGGGAAUCUUCGGAAAUGGACGAAAGUCUGACCGAGCAACGCCGCGUGAGGGAAGAAGGUUUUCGGAUCGUAAAACUCUGUUGUUAGAGAAGCGGUAUCUAACCAGAAGGCCACGGCUAACUACGUGCCAGCAGCCGCGGUAAAUC
This 403-nucleotide ribosomal RNA is filed under the name uncultured bacterium. RNAcentral's name for it is "partial 16S ribosomal RNA". It matches the Rfam family "Bacterial small subunit ribosomal RNA", at positions 28 to 526 of the family's 1533-position model. The record is from RNAcentral.